CCAUUCUAUAGUUUAAAAAAUAUAAACUUUGGAAGUUUAAGAUUGAAAGAAAUUUCAUGGAGUG
This 64-nucleotide transfer RNA is filed under the name Vema ewingi. RNAcentral describes it as "tRNA-Pro". The record is from RNAcentral. Lineage: Eukaryota; Metazoa; Mollusca; Monoplacophora; Tryblidiida; Neopilinidae.